AUACGGAGGGUGCGAGCGUUGUUCGGAAUUAUUGGGCGUAAAGAGCAUGUAGGCGGUCUGUUAAGUCUGGUGUGAAAGCCCGGGGCUCAACCCCGGAAGUGCAUUGGAUACUGGCAGACUUGAGUAUGUGAGAGGAAAGCGGAAUUCCGAGUGUAGGAGUGAAAUCCGUAGAUAUUCGGAGGAACACCAGUGGCGAAGGCGGCUUUCUGGACCAAUACUGACGCUGAGAUGCGAAAGCGUGGGGAGCAAACAGAAUUAGAAACCCCAGUAGUCC
RNAcentral lists this ribosomal RNA (274 nucleotides) under uncultured bacterium. RNAcentral's name for it is "partial 16S ribosomal RNA". It matches the Rfam family "Bacterial small subunit ribosomal RNA", at positions 523 to 796 of the family's 1533-position model. The record is from RNAcentral.